GGAGAGAGAGAGAGAGAGAUAGAGAGAGGGAGAGAGAGAGAGAGAGAGAGCGAGGAGGGGGGGUUUGGAGCAAAAGGCUGGUCGUCUCAGGUACGGGGAGGAGAACGGAGGCUACAGCUAACACU
Molecule: long non-coding RNA, 125 nt
Organism: Salarias fasciatus (jewelled blenny)
Lineage: Eukaryota; Metazoa; Chordata; Actinopteri; Blenniiformes; Blenniidae
Exons: 3
Source: RefSeq, a predicted model, not a curated record